UAUUCGUCCAGUUCACGGUUCAAAUGGCUCGUUCUAACUUCUAAUUACUGUAAUGGAGCUAGGCGGAGUUCGGGUGAAGACUGAAGAGGAGGACGACGCCGUGGCCCCUCCACUUCCUACUGCACUGACAUAGACUCGUAUAGUGGGGAGGUGAUGGGAUCGUCGAUCGGUUUUGGGGGUGGAGCCCUUGCUGACGGAGGUGGGUCGGAUGUCGUAGCAGGUCGCUCCUCUCUCAUUUUUCUCGGGACCGGUUGUUCCGGCACCGUCCCUAACGCGAGAUGCUUGAUCCACGCUACGGAUCCUCCUUGCCCCGUCUGCACCCGGGCCCUCUCCGUUCCUCCUGAGAGAAACCCUAAUUACAGGUGCAACACUUCUCUUUUGAUUGAUUAUUGUCAAGAUGGAGUACACAAUUACAUAAUAAUUGAUGUGGGAAAGACGUUCAGAGAACAAGUUUUGUGGUGGUUCACUCACCAUAAGAUUUCUCGAAUAGAUUCUAUUAUUCUGACUCACGAACAUGCAGAUGCAGUUCUUGGUCUUGAUGAUGCCCGGGUGGUUCAACAUGAUCUUAAUUCAAUUCCGAUAUACUGUACCCAAUUUACAAUGGACAGUGUUACAAAAAGGUUUCCAUAUUUAGUGAAGAGAAAUUUGAAAGAAGGUCAUGUAUUCAUGUUUACUAGUCAUUUGGAUUGGAAAAUUUUUGUUGAUGAUAUUGAGAAGCCUUUUAUAGCAUCAGGCCUAAAGUUGAUUCCUUUGCCAGUGAUGCAUGGUGAAGAUUAUGUUUGUUUAGGCUUCUUCUUUGGGCAAAAGACAAGGAUUGCAUAUAUAUCUGAUGUUUCACGCUUCCCUGUUGCCAGUGAAUAUACUAUCUCAAAAUCUGGAGCUGGACAGCUGGACCUUCUGAUUCUAGAGGCUAAUUCAAUUCGCAAGGUAGUCUCUAGGAGUACCCACCUUUCCUUUCCCGAGACCCUUGAAACAUUGAAGAGAAUGCGUCCCAAGCAAGCACUUCUAGUCGGAAUGACACACGACUAUGACCAUGACAGCUAUAACAAACUACUUGAAGAAUGGUCUAGCAGGUAACGAAUUCUUUCUCGAGAGAAAUUCCGCAGUCUUUGAGGAGGCCUUAAACAUCAUUAUCUGAAAUUGGUGCCGGCAUUGGCUGUUUUAAUAUGAUAGCAACAAGAGUUUUUUAGAAGGGAUCUCAGUGCAGCUUGCUCGUGAUGGUUUACAAGUGUAUGCUGAUUUGUGAAUACCUGGUGCACAUGAAGCAUGCUUCCUUGCCAGGUUUAGUAGAAUCCUUUCGUCAGUGUGGCAAAGCUAUCGCGGCUUUCAUUGACGAUCCAACAUCUCUAGUACUGAUCCUGCACUCGUACCGUAUGGUGAACAUAUAUUAGAUAUUCUUAUUUUUUGUAAAUUAAUCUUCUUCUUUUUGUUUGGGUUUUGAUGAUUGUUCUCAAAACAUUUUAGAGACAAAUGGGCAUUGUAUGUGUUCCCUGUAUGUGUAACUAAAAUCAUCAGAAAUAUUUGUUCGAAUGCGCCGAUUCAAGUC
This is an RNA transcript of Zingiber officinale, 1546 nucleotides long. It is a transcript of the gene named putative hydrolase C777.06c, with no coding region annotated. The record is from RefSeq and is a predicted model, not a curated record. The transcript has 9 exons. NCBI's taxonomy places the organism in Eukaryota, Viridiplantae, Streptophyta, Magnoliopsida, Zingiberales, Zingiberaceae.